AUGAUUCCAGUCAUGCGGACUGUGAGAUCAUGCCAGAGGAACCUAGACGCAAAUGGCAAAAAAAGGUAUAUGGCCUUUCAGCUGUAUGUCGAAGUGCAAGGCUUAAUUUCAAGAAGAAAUUUCAUGAUGAUCCAUGAGAGGCAUUUUUCGAAUAGCAGAGGUCUUAGGGACUUUGCUAAGCGUAGGUUCUUGGUGGAGGCUUCUCUGGAAUACAAGCUUGAUUUUGUUGCAUUGCUUGAGACAGGUCACGACAAUUUCACCUCGCAGUUCCUCGAGACUAUUUCGGGUGGUCUAGAGUUUGAUUGGCAUUGUCUACCACCUCGAGGAAGAUCUGGAGGGAUCAUACUCGGAGUAAAUUACGAGACCCUUGAGGUGAUUGAUGUAUUCUGGGGAGAUUUUGCUGUUAAAUUCCAUGUGCGAUCGAAAGCUGACGGAUUCAGGUGGGCUCUAGUGGCUAUGUACGGGGCGGCACAACCUGAGCUCAAACCUGACUUCCUUGCAUAUAUGGUUUGGAUUUGUGGGGACGAAAUGCUACCAAUUAUGGUUGGUGGAGAUUUCAACAUUAUUAGAAGAAGGGAAGAGAAAAACAAUGACAACCUUUGA
Molecule: ribosomal RNA, 603 nt
Filed under: Triticum aestivum (bread wheat)
Lineage: Eukaryota; Viridiplantae; Streptophyta; Magnoliopsida; Poales; Poaceae
Description: partial small subunit ribosomal RNA
Source: RNAcentral